This 189-nucleotide unclassified non-coding RNA is filed under the name uncultured fungus. RNAcentral describes it as "sequence contains ITS1". The record is from RNAcentral. Lineage: Eukaryota; Fungi.
AUAUUAACUAUUAAGGACAUUCAUUAUUAAACAAAGAGUUUAUUCGAAAAACAUAGACCAACCCCUUUCAGAAUCAGCCUACAAAAGUGCACAAGUGUAAGUAAACUUGGAAACGAGGCGUGCACAUUUGACAUAGCAACAGCCUCUUUCAAUUCAAUAAUGAUCCUUCCGCAGGUUCACCUACGGAAA